ACAAGGAACCCAUGUUUUCACAUGGAAGCAACUGCACCUGCAUCUAGCAACGCUAACACCAUGGAUAAGCAAGCGGUAACAUAGCCAAUCAAUGGUUUGCUAGGUCGAACAGGUUGAAGGCUAUCAUGACAUUGUUGAGAGGCUGGUAUUUAACAUGUGGUAGGCAACGAGACAUAAUCGAUAGAAGUGGUAAUACUAGCAUUGCAAUGAUAGUAAUGGUAUCUGGGAAAUGAUCAUCUUGCCUGAGAUCCUGCUUGGAAGAAGAAUGCCUCCGUGAAGUAGACGAACCGACGUAGUCGAACGGGUCCUCACAAUCCG
Molecule: long non-coding RNA, 318 nt
Filed under: Hordeum vulgare
Lineage: Eukaryota; Viridiplantae; Streptophyta; Magnoliopsida; Poales; Poaceae
Description: long non-coding RNA (HVUL_LNC001481)
Source: RNAcentral